ACUGAACGCUGGCGGCAUGCCUAACACAUGCAAGUCGAACGGCAGCACAGUAUGUAGCAAUACAUAUGGGUGGCGAGUGGCGGACGGGUGCGUAAUAUGUAGGGAUCUGCCCUGAAGCGGGGGACAACCCGGGGAAACCCGGGCUAAUACCGCAUAAUACUCUACGGAGGAAAUCUGGCACGCAAGUGCUGGGGCUUUAGGAUGAACCUACAUCCGAUUAGCUAGUUGGUGAGGUAAUAGCUCACCAAGGCAAUGAUCGGUAGCUGGUCUGAGAGGAUGACCAGCCACACUGGGACUGAGACACGGCCCAGACUCCUACGGGAGGCAGCAGUGGGGAAUAUUGGACAAUGGGGGAAACCCUGAUCCAGCAAUGCCGCGUGGGUGAAGAAGGCCUUCGGGUUGUAAAGCCCUUUAGGCGGGGAAGAAGGUUAUAGGGUGAUAAGCCUUAUAGCUUGACGGUACCCGCAGAAUAAGCACCGGCUAACCCUGUGCCAGCCGCCGCUGUAA
RNAcentral lists this ribosomal RNA (507 nucleotides) under uncultured bacterium. RNAcentral describes it as "partial 16S ribosomal RNA". It matches the Rfam family "Bacterial small subunit ribosomal RNA", at positions 30 to 523 of the family's 1533-position model. The record is from RNAcentral.